Molecule: long non-coding RNA, 1007 nt
Organism: Homo sapiens (human)
Lineage: Eukaryota; Metazoa; Chordata; Mammalia; Primates; Hominidae
Source: Ensembl
GCGCCUCCCAACCCUGAAGCCCGCCCUGGAAGCGAAAUCCUUGCCUGGGCUCCCAGGCUGAGCCGGAGGACCCCGGGGGUUCACCUAGCCCUCUGGGAUAAGGGGCUUUAGUCUCUAUAUUCUUUGGGCUUGGGGGUUGGGGACAGUGGGAGGAUUAAUUAUGGAGGCAAGGUCAGAGGAAAAGGGAAAAAUGGGAAAGAUUUUAUUUAAAGCCCCUGGUCAUUCUUGCCUUUCCGCCCGCCCACCACGACCCCUCAAGCCAGAUGCCGUCUCUAGUUCGGGAGCGUUGGAUGAGGAUGCCAGGCACUCUGCUUUUCCUAAACAACUUCCAAGAACCCCGGAACAUUUCUUAAAGUGUCUGGAACGAAGCUUUAACCUCGCCUGCUCCAUCAGCCUGGGACGGAAAAGACGCGAGGGGCGAAGAAGAGGUGGGGCACGGGGAGCCCGGGCCGUUCGGCUCAGCGGCAGAGUCAGUCCAUCCAAUAGGCAGGAGCCCAAAAGACUGUCCACGGACAGCUGUCCUCUCGCCCAGGAGAGUGGGGCUGCACACAGCAGCAGGCCCAGGAGGAAAUCGUGCUUUGAUAGCCCCAGGCAUCGUAUUUCAUCGUAUUUCACAAUUAGGUCUACAAGCCAGGUUCAAGGCCACCAACUGAGGCACCUGUCCCGAGACAGGACCAUUCUAAUCUGCCCUGAAAAGGACAUCCCAUUGAUCAUACUAAAUUUGUGGAUGGAUACCUAUCUGUUGACCAGACCCUCCCUCUUCAAUGAAAACUGCCUCUCCUUCCACUCCAUCUGUGAGGCACCCUUGGAUGCUGACAUGUGCUUACAUAGGACUUCCUGUCCACAGCCAGAAUUAGCCAGAAUUCACUGACCCAUGGUUGGACUCCUAAAAUACUCAAGAUGAGAGACAUGUUACUUUUCUUUACUAUAGUAACUAUCAAAUGCAUCCCAUAACCUUAUGUUGUAAAUGUCAAAUAUGCACAAUAAAAUUUAUUUGAAAAAAUAAA